Long non-coding RNA from Sardina pilchardus (European sardine), 534 nucleotides. RefSeq lists it as uncharacterized. The record is from RefSeq and is a predicted model, not a curated record. The transcript is spliced from 3 exons. Lineage: Eukaryota; Metazoa; Chordata; Actinopteri; Clupeiformes; Clupeidae.
AAGAAGAAGAGUGCAGCGCAUCGGUGCAAAAAGUUUCAGGUGUACCGAUGCUGAAGAUGAGUUGUAUUUAAGGUGCACCUAUGACAUGGCCUGCACGAAUCAUUCGGCUGUGGACUUCAUCAAGGAAGCCAGGACACACUUGGUGAAAAAUCUGAAACACCAGGAGCUCAUUGCCCAGAAGCUUGAAGAGUUAGGUGUGUUCAAUUUUGAUAAUGUCACAGCGGUGACUGCAGAAAAGAAUCCUUUAACCCAAACCAGACAUAUUUUAGAAUUUGUCAUCAAAAAGGGGGAGAAAGCAAGCUACCUGUUCCUCAGGAUUCUGGAUGGUGAAAGGAACUUGACUUUACCAAAGGAUGCCACACCUGACUUGCACUACUGGAUCAGCUGUUUCCCCUUCAGAGAGGAGUCAGAUUUGCAGCCCACUGGCCCCAGAUCAUGCCAGCUAUACCAGGCACAGCUCAAAACCAAAGCCCAGAAAAUCCUCAACGCUCACACAGCGCAAAUCAAUUUUGUUUGUGGUAGAAAUGCAGUGCA